AAUUAUACUCUGCUGUGAAGCCUGAAGCAGUGCACUAUGGGAAUCAACGCAGGGCAUAGGAGGGCUGAACCCCGUCACAAAGGCUCUGAUCAUUGAACAGACGCAGCUCUUAUUUUGGUUUUCAUUUCAGACUCAGCAGGUGGUGGGUAAGUCUUACUUACACUCUGAGGGAGGCCGGUCUGUCUCCCUAGGUGCUCCUGGAGACUCUGUGUCCUCCUCAGCACCGGGGACCAGAGAGGACACACUGCUGCCCACAGGGGUGGGGGUGAGGGCAGAGAGGGAGGCCCCAGUCAUGAAGGAGGACUCCCUGUGGGUGUGGAGGCGAGCAGAGGAGCUGCGAGGGCGCCUGGGAUGAGCUCUCAGAGGCUUUCGGAGGGGAAAAGAGAAGGAGACAAAAGGCAGUGCACAUUCAUAAAGGUGAGCAUGUGUUUAGUUUGUUACCUAAAAAACAGAAUGCAAGGACACAGGGACGACAAACCAAUGUUUCUUGCGAUCACAACAGACUUCAGACUUUCAACCCAUAGAGUAAUACCUCGGCUGUAUCAUUUGGCCCAUAAAGCUUAAGACUUUCUGGGAAAUUGGAUUUGAAGCUGAGUGAAGGCCCUGGAGGCUGGAACAUGAUGACGUUUGGGUCUCCUCUGAUACUUUGACAAAAAGAUGAUCAUAGAUCAAUAGCAAGGCAAGAAAAAAAAAUGUAAAGAGGGAACCUUGGAAACAACUGCCUUUGAGGAAAUAAAGCACACUACAGGUUCAAUGUAACAGCAAUACUGUGGGUUAAACAUACAAGUUUAAGCACCACACCGCUGCUGCUUCUGCACCUUCUCUCCAUUUCCUCACUCUGGACGCCCUGUGGUGGGUCAAUAUCACGGUAGCUGAAACCUGGAGGGGGGACGAAGAUGGAAGAAUGCAAUCUUCUCGCUAAGCCUGGGCCCCCUCCGGAGCUUUGGACUUUAUAUUUCAUCCAGCACUGUCAGCUCACGCCUGCAGCUCCUGAGCACCACCACCCUUCAGCUCGCUACAGUACAGAUGCAACGUCUCUUCAGGUGGCUCGCUUAAAAACAGUGUGGAUUUGACAGGAGUUACUCAUCAGUCAGCGUGCAGAGGUCAGCGCCAUAAUGAGCAGUGUUUUAGCCUCUGGAUGGGGAGCUCCAGGCAGUGGAAUCACUCUUUAAUAGUAAAUGACAGUUAAUGUAUUGAACUUUUUCAUAGUAUGAAGACAAGUCCCUGACUAACGCUAUGUGCUUUUGUUUCUCAUUGCUCACAUUAAAUGCACCAUUAUCUUUUCAAAUGCGAACACUUUCGAGAAGAAUUGAGGGA
Sander lucioperca (pikeperch) is the source of this 1317-nucleotide long non-coding RNA. RefSeq lists it as uncharacterized. NCBI's taxonomy places the organism in Eukaryota, Metazoa, Chordata, Actinopteri, Perciformes, Percidae. The record is from RefSeq and is a predicted model, not a curated record. The transcript is spliced from 4 exons.